This 66-nucleotide transfer RNA is filed under the name Galathealinum brachiosum. Its description in RNAcentral is "tRNA-Lys". The record is from RNAcentral. Lineage: Eukaryota; Metazoa; Annelida; Polychaeta; Sabellida; Siboglinidae.
UAUUAGAAAGCUCAUAGCCUUGAACUUUUAAUUCAAUCAAAAUAUAAAUUUAUAUAUUUCUAAUAA